UAGGGAAUCUUCGGCAAUGGGGGGAACCCUGACCGAGCAACGCCGCGUGAGUGAAGAAGGUUUUCGGAUCGUAAAGCUCUGUUGUUAAGGAAGAACGAGUGUGAGAAUGGAAAGUUCAUACUGUGACGGUACUUAACCAGAAAGGGACGGCUAACUACGUGCCAGCAGCCGCGGUAAUACGUAGGUCCCGAGCGUUGUCCGGAUUUAUUGGGCGUAAAUCGAGCGCAGGCGGUUAGAUAAGUCUGAAGUUAAAGGCAGUGGCUCAACCAUUGUAGGCUUUGGAAACUGUUUAACUGGAGUGCAGAAGGGGAGAGUGGAAUUCCAUGUGUAGCGGUGAAAUGCGUAGAUAUAUGGAGGAACACCGGUGGCGAAAGCGGCUCUCUGGUCUGUAACUGACGCUGAGGCUCGAAAGCGUGGGGAGCGAACAGG
RNAcentral lists this ribosomal RNA (429 nucleotides) under Bacteroidota bacterium. RNAcentral's name for it is "Bacteroidetes bacterium partial 16S ribosomal RNA". It matches the Rfam family "Bacterial small subunit ribosomal RNA", at positions 355 to 776 of the family's 1533-position model. Lineage: Bacteria; Pseudomonadati; Bacteroidota. The record is from RNAcentral.